UGGGGGUAGCUACGGAGAGAGCACACAGGACCUGGCAGGCAAAAGUCAGGAGCCAGGGGGCACCUGAGCAAGAAGCUGAGAAAGAUGUUCAGGAGGAGUCCGGAAGAGAAUUCAGAUACAGAGCCAAACAAGGUGGGAGACACACCAGCACGGGGCUGCGAGGCCCAGCAGCCUGGACACGGGCCAAGAAGUCAAGAACUGUUGACACCCACGUCUCCACUCUCCUACUGACACCAGCGACCACCCAGCCCAGCGCAACCAUAUGGCCUCUUGUUUUCCUGAUGUAUGAGUGUCACCGUCAGUGGUGGAGACAGAAGAUUGACCACCGUGGAGGGCCAUCAUUUCCAUCCGUUUCCUUCCAUGCUACCCAGCAAGCAGCAAAGGAAAUUAAAC
RNAcentral lists this long non-coding RNA (393 nucleotides) under Canis lupus familiaris (dog). RNAcentral describes it as "lncRNA (ENSCAFG00000056825.1, ENSCAFG00845027630.1)". Lineage: Eukaryota; Metazoa; Chordata; Mammalia; Carnivora; Canidae. The record is from RNAcentral.